RNAcentral lists this transfer RNA (72 nucleotides) under Acidimicrobiia bacterium. Its description in RNAcentral is "tRNA-Val". It matches the Rfam family "tRNA". From Rfam's summary of the family: Transfer RNA (tRNA) molecules are approximately 80 nucleotides in length. Their secondary structure includes four short double-helical elements and three loops (D, anti-codon, and T loops). Lineage: Bacteria; Bacillati; Actinomycetota; Acidimicrobiia. The record is from RNAcentral.
GGGCGAUUAGCUCAGGGGGAGAGCGCUUCCUUGACACGGAAGAGGCCGGAGGUUCAAGUCCUCCAUCGCCCA